CGUGCAGUCAGUCAGUCAGUCGCUCCUCGUCCACCGUAGCGCGCUCUCGAGCUACUGUACUCUCUUAUAUAUACCUCUCCGUGAACGCGGGCUUUUAUUCACGCCAAUUCUUAUAUAUACAAUAAUACGUGCACUCGUGUAUGUAUACCUCGUGUGUGCGCAAAUAGCAGCAGAUCUCUCGACUUUUCUCUUUGUAUACAUAAACAUAAACGCAACGGGAUUGGAUUCUACGGACGCAAAAAUUUCAUCAUUCUAACCCUCGUCGACCCCGUUGUGAGUAUAUUGUGCAUCGCACCAGCAGCGCCAGCCGAAAUAGAACAACAACAGAAAUUCACAUACAUCCGAGUGUGUGCGAGCAAAGAUACGAGCCACGUGAGACGCACGUUGCAAUAGGAUCAGUGAUAUAGAAGCAGCAAACCAAGAGACGGCGGCACGCAAAAGCCAAGACAUACAGUGAUCCAUCGUCGGCAUCGACAUUGGUGUUUUUAUUCAAAACUAGUGUUUUAUAACCGAGUGUUGUUGACGUUUUUACACGUCGUUGAAUAAAAAAAAAUAUUAUAAUAAGGCCCCAUCAGUGCAAAAAAGUGCAAAGUUUCGUUUCGUUGGUUUUGAAGAGAAGUAGGAGGAAGGUAUCUUCGAUUUUCGAGUGUUAAUAAGACGCAAUCGAGAAACGAUCUCGAUCUCGCCUGUCUCUUGGCGUCGACGAUUGACGUUUGAAGAGAAGAAAGAAGAAGAGGACAAGUGUUACAGUGCUGACAGGGGGUAAAGGCCAAACUGGGGAAAUAUGAGCAUUGCUGCCCUCCUGCAGGCUGCUGAGUAUAUCGAACGAAGGGACAGAGAAGCCGAACAUGGAUACGCUUCCACAAUGCCGAUACCGGACGACAUACGGUCGGUCACCAAGAGGCCAAAGACGAAAAAGUCACAAGGGAGCAGGACGACUCAUAACGAACUGGAGAAAAACAGGUACGUCAAAUUCACUGAAGAAGUAUACGCAAUCUUUUAAUUUUCUUUUUUUAAUAAAAGAUUCACGCUCCAGUACUCGUGACUCGCACGCAGCAGCGAGGGGGUGUAUCACUGAAACUACAAGUGUGGCAUAAGAAUAAUCGUAGUCGUCGCAUUAGCAUUGCGAGUCCACACCCGUUUGACGUGUUCUUAUAUCCGACCCCAUAUAGCGCGAGCGCCGUUUCUUUUUCAUAUUGGCACGUUUGAUAUAUAAAUUACACGUUGCAGAGCACUUGUUAGGUUUGAAGAAAAGGAAAAAUUGAAAUUUGCAAUGGAUUAUAUUUUUCUAUCGAUAUAUCUGUCUGUCGGAUUUAAUGCAUUCAUGCUGCUAUUCCGCGAACGAUAAGUAAAUUACACUGCCGGUGUUGAGUAAUUUCGUAAUUGCAUCCUCGUUGUGAUUUUUUUCUUCGGGAACUUUUGAGGCUCUCCAUCAUUGUUUGCUCAUUAAAAUCGUUUAAAUAAAUGCUGUAUAAGCGGACGCAUUAAAUUCCGACAAAAUAUUUUUAAGCGCAACGACUGUUUAAUGGAAAAUCUAUUUGAGCCAAGGCCUAAACAAACACAUUACCUCGCGUUAAUUCGGGACACAUGAAAAGAAAAAAAAGAAAAAACAAUAACAACAAUAACUGAGAAUGUUGACAUAACACGACAAUCGAUGCUAAUUUAUACUUGCAUACAUAUAUACCGCGUCGCGGAGCAUUUUUCACGUGAGUCAUAUAAUAUGCAAUUUUCCACGUCACGCGAUGAAUAAUAUAUAACCGAUUCAUCCGAGCAGUUUUUUCGAUCGGGUUUGUUUUUUCCUCGCGUAUAUAAAUUUCGAGUGCAUCUCGUUUUUUUUCUUGCUGCUGCCUCGGCCCAAGGAAAAUUCCCCAGUCGACUGCACUUUAUUCAAAAUUGAGACGUCGCUCUCUCUUUCUCGCUUGCACCAGGAUGAGAAAAAGGUUAGGCCGGGCCAACGCUACUAGCUGAACUUCCUUUAUUACUUUCUCUCUUUUCAGCAGACUUUAAGUGUGUUUUUAUAUAUAUACGUAUAUACAGGGCGCUAGAACCGUAGCUCCUUUCCCCAACGAAACUUUUAAUUGGCUUUGAAAUGUCAAAAAUGCUGUAAAUUAAGUCUUAAUUGUUUGGAGCGCUUAAGCGGGUGAAGCACACACACUAUCGCCAGGGCUUUUCCUUAUAUUUCUCAUUGAUUCGACUUUUUUCCGUCGAUAUAUAAGUUCGAGAUCUUUUUUACGUCGAGCACCGUAUCAUCAAUUUUAACGUCCGGCUUUUGUGUAGUCGGAUAAUUCACAGAGAGGGAUCGAAUCGGAGCUUUCGAAAGCGUAUACGCACUUUGAGCUCGUUUGCGCGCGCGUGAGCGACGCUGUAAUGAACAGCGCGAGAAACUGCGCACACGAAAUCCUGGGUAACGAGGGCGCGCAACCAAGUAUAUAUAUUCGUUCGACUGUGUAACUUUGGUUGGCCUCCAAAAAACGAAAAAAACAAAAACAAAAAAAAAGCCACACCAAGUUCAAAGAGUUGUGUGCUGUACUGUGCCCUUCGCGUGGAGAAAAGUUAACCCCUGGCACGCGUGUCCGGUCGGCGAUUUUUCUUUCUUUUUUACGUUUCUUAUGUGUAUUUACCAAAGCGAAGGCACGGAAACAAUUGACCAGCAUACGUGUGCGUGCGUGUGUACGUACAGACGACCAGAGGGGCCGAAGAAUUAGAGAAACUGGUUUCUCGAGUGUCGUCGAUCUCAAUGCAAUAAUGCUUAGAUAGAGAGGGAGAGAGUGAGUGAGAGCAUACCAAAGCGAAAGGGUGAAAAGAAGCGAAAGAGAGAGCGAGAGAGAGGAUGAAGAGAGAGGGGAGGUAGACGAAAAAGACAGAGAGCCUGAUUGAGUGGUUUAUACAUAUUGUAGCGUCGAACAAAUCGCGCAUGUACCGUCAAAAAGGAGGUAUAGGCGCGCAGAGAGAAAGAAAGAGAGAGAGUUACUUUGGUAUGAAUAAUUAUAAUACACUACGUUCGCGCUCGCCAUCGUGCCCUUAUGGUAUUUAUAAAUCACACUACUGGCUCAUAUUUCAGCGCACACCACGUCGAGCUGAGCUCGUAUAAUGUGUACACAUAAAGCUCGGCCGAGUCAUUACAUCGGCACAGGUCUUGCGAAGAAAAAAAAUAAAAGUGGCCUUGCAUUAUCAUCUUUUUUCUUGAAAAAAUCACCGUCCGCAGUACAGGUUUUACAUUGGCGUUCCUUUAUUUAUUUUAUUUUAUUUUAUUUUUUUUGCUCGUUGCUCGAGAUAAGGCAAUUUUCACUGCACCGCACAUACGUACACGGAGCUCCGAAGCUUUUGUGCUGGACAAUAUCGCAUUUCAUUUCUCCUCCUCAUGGCCGCUGAAAUAACUUCGGGUUCUCUAUCUCGUUCUCUGUCUCUCUCUCUCUCUCUUGUCGCUUGCCGCACGCGUUUCGUACAUCAGCAGUAGUAGUAGUAGUAGUAUAGCCGCGUUAUAUGCAACGAAGAAGAAGAGGUCAGGAAACUUGGGGCUCACUGCGAGAAAAGUGUUUGUCCGGGCGCUCGAGCUGCAACAAUGGGGGCUAGUUACUAGUGGCUACCACUGCUGCUGCUGCUCCGGACGUCGCGUGGAUAUACGUGUGCGCAUUCGUUGUCCCAAGCCAUGACGCCGAGAGAGUAUAAUACAGUAACCUCGAUUUUUGCUGCUGCUGCUGCUGCUUCACCGUGAAUUUUUUCAUAACUGCACAGGAAUCGUAGUAGAGUUAGCUCGGCCAAUUUUUAUUUUUUACACACACAAACUAUAUACGUAAUAAAUAAAUUGCACGAAAUUGCCUUCGAAAGCUGUAUAAUAUCGGCCUAAGAAAAGUGCGGAGAAAAUGUUGUUCAGGGAAAAAGUAUAUGACCGAGUGCACGAGGUAUGCUUUAGUAUAAUUACACUUGCGCCGGCACGUAUGUAUGUACGUAAACUCGCUUCCGUUUAAUUCUGCAACGGCUCACGACGUAAAAUCAGUGAAGUAGGGGCUCCGCCUAUACCAGCUAGUAUACCAUUGUUGCACUCGAC
This 4048-nucleotide unclassified non-coding RNA is filed under the name Trichogramma pretiosum. Its description in RNAcentral is "max dimerization protein 1-like, transcript variant X2". Lineage: Eukaryota; Metazoa; Arthropoda; Insecta; Hymenoptera; Trichogrammatidae. The record is from RNAcentral.